GAUGAACGCUGGCGGCGUGCCUAAUACAUGCAAGUCGAGCGAACAGAUAAGGAGCUUGCUCCUUUGACGUUAGCGGCGGACGGGUGAGUAACACGUGGGUAACCUACCUAUAAGACUGGAAUAACUCCGGGAAACCGGGGCUAAUGCCGGAUAACAUAUAGAACCGCAUGGUUCUAAAGUGAAAGAUGGUUUUGCUAUCACUUAUAGAUGGACCCGCGCCGCAUUAGCUAGUUGGUAAGGUAACGGCUUACCAAGGCAACGAUACGUAGCCGACCUGAGAGGGUGAUCGGCCACACUGGAACUGAGACACGGUCCAGACUCCUACGGGAGGCAGCAGUAGGGAAUCUUCCGCAAUGGGCGAAAGCCUGACGGAGCAACGCCGCGUGAGUGAUGAAGGUCUUCGGAUCGUAAAACUCUGUUAUUAGGGAAGAACAAAUGUGUAAGUAACUGUGCACGUCUUGACGGUACCUAAUCAGAAAGCCACGGCUAACUACGUG
Molecule: ribosomal RNA, 497 nt
Filed under: uncultured bacterium
Lineage: Bacteria
Description: partial 16S ribosomal RNA
Rfam family: Bacterial small subunit ribosomal RNA
Source: RNAcentral